RNAcentral lists this ribosomal RNA (405 nucleotides) under uncultured bacterium. RNAcentral's name for it is "partial 16S ribosomal RNA". It matches the Rfam family "Bacterial small subunit ribosomal RNA", at positions 30 to 526 of the family's 1533-position model. The record is from RNAcentral.
AUUGAACGCUAGCUGGAUGCUUAACACAUGCAAGUCGAACGCGUGGCGCACGGGUGAGUAAUAUACCGGAACGUGCUCCGUAGCGGGGGAUAACUACUUGAAAGAGGGGCUAAUACAGCCUACUAUUGGAGCGGCCGAUAUCGGAUUAGCUAGUUGGUGGGGUAAAGGCUCACCAAGGCAACGAUCCGUAGCUGGUUUGAUAGGGAGACCAGCCACACUGGGACUGAAACACGGCCCAGACGCCUACGGGAGGCGGCAGUGGGGAAUGUUGGACAAGGGGGGAAACCCUGAUCCAGCCCUCCCGCGUGUAUGAGAAGGCCUUCGGGUUGUAAAGUACAUUUGGUAGAGAAGCGGUAUCUGCAGAAUAAGCACCGGCUAACUACGUGCCAGCAGCCGCGGUAAUAC